Molecule: long non-coding RNA, 576 nt
Organism: Oxyura jamaicensis (ruddy duck)
Lineage: Eukaryota; Metazoa; Chordata; Aves; Anseriformes; Anatidae
Exons: 3
Source: RefSeq, a predicted model, not a curated record
AGAAGACUAUAGUAUCUUUACUAGUAAGUUGUUCAAAGCAGCUGGCUGGUUGCUUACAGACAUUUCAGGGGGAGGGUUCCUGUUGUUAGCCGACUGAAGUUGGCCUGUGCUGUCACGAGGAUGAUCGCACUGCUUCGACAAUCCUUCAGGAGUACUAAGUACUAUGGUAUGUCUGUGCUCUCACAGUCUGUCUUCACCAUGGUAUGGAGUGGGUGAGAAGCAUGUUUUGAGCCCUUAUAAUAAACCUUCCCACAAAGCAGCCACGGAUGUAAGAAGCAGAAGGACGAGAUAAGUCUGGUGGAUUCAGAGCUUCCAGCCUGGGGAGGUGCUCAAGGGAAGUGCCCCAGCUCUUUGGCCUCCUUCUGUAUUUUGCACAAGGCAGUCUCUGGGUAAAAUUCAGAGUGACCCUUGCGAAUUGUGUUUAUGCCUCUUCAUGAAGCUGGCCUGUAAUACAAUAGAGAUCUGUUUAUUCAGAUGGACAGUAGACCAGAAAGAUAAACACAUCUAUAGAUAAAAGUAGAGGGAAAAGCUAACUUACAGUGAUACUACGUUUUUUUUUGUUUGUUUGUUUGUUUG